Molecule: ribosomal RNA, 253 nt
Filed under: uncultured bacterium
Lineage: Bacteria
Description: partial 16S ribosomal RNA
Rfam family: Bacterial small subunit ribosomal RNA
Source: RNAcentral
UACGUAGGGAGCAAGCGUUGUCCGGAAUCAUUGGGCGUAAAGCGCGCGUAGGCGGCCCUGUAAGUCCGUUGUGAAAGUCGGGGGCUCAACCCUCGAAAGCCGGUGGAUACUGUCGGGCUAGAGUACGGAAGAGGCGAGUGGAAUUCCUGGUGUAGCGGUGAAAUGCGCAGAUAUCAGGAGGAACACCAAUUGCGAAGGCAGCUCGCUGGGACGUUACUGACGCUGAGACGCGAAAGCGUGGGGAGCAAACAGG